UACGAAGGGGGGCUAGCGUUGCUCGGAAUCACUGGGCGUAAAGCGCACGUAGGCGGAUCUUUAAGUCAGGGGUGAAAUCCUGGAGCUCAACUCCAGAACUGCCUUUGAUACUGGGGAUCUCGAGUCCGGGAGAGGUGAGUGGAACUCCCGAGUGUAGAGGUGAAAAUUCGUAGAUAUUCGGAAGAACACCAGUGGCGAAGGCGGCUCACUGGCCCGGUAUGACGCUGAGGUGCGAAAGCGUGGGGAGCAAACAGG
RNAcentral lists this ribosomal RNA (255 nucleotides) under uncultured bacterium. RNAcentral describes it as "partial 16S ribosomal RNA". It matches the Rfam family "Bacterial small subunit ribosomal RNA", at positions 524 to 776 of the family's 1533-position model. The record is from RNAcentral.